Molecule: long non-coding RNA, 2224 nt
Organism: Mercurialis annua (annual mercury)
Lineage: Eukaryota; Viridiplantae; Streptophyta; Magnoliopsida; Malpighiales; Euphorbiaceae
Exons: 2
Source: RefSeq, a predicted model, not a curated record
UGUAAAAAAACUAGUUAUAGGGAAAUAUGUGGAGAAAGUCCUAGCCCCCAACUCUUUACCGGCGACCAGCAAAUCCACGGCGAAUUUGAUUGGGUCUCAAACUCUUCAGCAAUAAUCAGCAGAUUCAGAUGUCACAAGAAAUUCAUUGAUUAAUUCAGAGUAGGAGCCGUGCCUUCUUUCCUCUGUUCAGGUAAGUCAGUUAAAUGCUUGUAACAAUUUGGUAGGUCUAGUCCCUAAUAUUUAUGAUAUUGGUUUAGUCUUUGCUGAUAUUAUACUUUUAGUUUAUUUAUGAUUUUGAAUAUGUGAACCGAACUUUAAGAAUAAUUUAUUUUUGGAGAUAUACUUUUGUUUUAUUCACCGCGGUACACGGUUUUCGUUAGUAUUAUGGCAAGGAGUUCAGGUAUUUUGACCCUAUAACCUAAUUUGUUUUGAAUUGUAUAAUCUUUUAAUUUAAUUGUACUGAUAAAUUGUGUGUUUCUAAUUUCAAUAGAAACUACAACCUACAGAAAGAAAAUACCAGCCCUGCGAUCCUGGAAAAAGGUUUAAUUAUCUAGUAUAACCAUAUGGAUAACAAAUACAUAGUUGAAUCAUGUGAAUAAGAAAGAAUACACCUUGAAGCAUCAUUGUCCUUAAUCAUAAAUAAUUGAUAUUUUGGCAAACUAUUUUUAUAGAGCAUUUGAGAGCCUAAAAAUAUUAUGAACAACAAAACAAAGAGGUUUCUUUCUAUGGGGAAUUAAAUUCAUGCCAUAUUUUGUGGAUCAAUAAUUUUGUUUUAUUUUUUAAGAUAAAAAUGUAUGAUCUCAAUUUAGGAUCGAAUAAAAGAGCUGCACAACCUUUAAUUUUUGUGUAUUAUUAAUCAGUGGGAGUUAGCGAGCAGGUAAUAAGAUUUGAAUUUGGUAAUUGUUGACUAAAUCAAAUUCUAAAUGACUCUUUUCUUAAUCCUAAGGAGCAUAUGAGUUGGUAAGGCGCUCUUCUGGCUUAAGUGAGGUCACGUGUGCGAACUAUACUCAUGUAUGCAGUCGUUUAAAUCUUGAGGUCAGAGUUUGCUUCCGCAAGGGACCUAUAAGGCUCGAGUGAGGAUCAGUCUGAAUCUGAAAGGUUUAAAGGUGUCGUGUCAUAGUUAAGACAUGUUUAAAAAACCUCACGGACCCUAUACUAAAAGCAAAUGACCCUUUUCUUCUUUAUUGGGUGGCAAUGAGGUAGCAAAUCACGCUCACAAAAUCCUCACAAUAUGUCUUUCACUAUUUUUAUCUUUAUUAUUGGUUUCAUUCUUUAAUUCUUAAGUUGAUAAUGCAUGUAAACUUGAAAAUGCUUUCAGAUUUGUAAGGUGUUUCUAGGCAGGGGCAUGUUUUUGGUUCAAACCGAAAUAACUUAUUUUUUAUUUUUUAAAAUUGAAUUGAACCAAUUUUAUAAGAAUUUUUAAACAUUUUAGAUAUUUUGGUUCGGUUUGUUCCAAAAGUAAAUUGAUUUUUUUGGUUCUACCUUUGUUUCUUUUGGACAACAUUACAAUUGUUGAGCAAAAUUCAUGUAAUUCUAGUGAUAAAUGGAGAUAUAUGAUGGGUAACAAAUGGAUUAAUUGUGGUUUUCAAAACUUUGGUUACUGUAUUAUGUACUGUUAUUUUAGUUUGUAUACAAAUAGAGAUCAUACUGCUUACUAUAUCAUGUACUGUUAUCAUAUUGCUUACUGCUAUCUUUUUGUGCAUUUUGUCUUGGAUCCUAUUCUUAUUAGUAGCUCAAGAACUGAAGCUUCAUUUGCUGCUGUAUAUGACUGUUUGGUUUUUAUAAAAAAAGUAAGUUUCUUGAAAAUUGAGACUGUAACUCAAAAUUCCAGUUUAGUUUGGUUGUUACAUACCCCUACUGUCAAUAUAUGAAGAAACCAACCAAUCCUAUUUAUAGGUUGUGUUGAUGAAUAUGGGUGUUGAUGCAUUGUGAAGGGUGGCAGAUACCAGUGACGUGUGCUGGUAAGAUUACCGUAAUGGAUUAUUUAAAGCAGAUAAAGACAGUUAAAAAAGAACAUGUUGAUGCUACUGUGGGCAGUCCUCUCGACAUUUUUGGAGAUUUCUUACCAUACAAACAUGUUGUGGCUUGGCAUGCCCAUUAAAAAGCCUUCUCUUAUUAAUCAAUUGUUUGUAAAAUGUAAUUCAUCUUUUAAUUGACUAGUGAUGUAGCAUAAAAGUUGCUAUGAUCUAAUCAAUCAAUAUUCAAUUAACUUAUAAAAUUUCAA